Molecule: long non-coding RNA, 314 nt
Filed under: Mus musculus (house mouse)
Lineage: Eukaryota; Metazoa; Chordata; Mammalia; Rodentia; Muridae
Description: predicted gene 13166
Source: RNAcentral
AUCUUUCUUCUUGCAUCUCGGCUGCCUCGUGAUCAGGAAGUCAUGGAGGGAGACUAGUGCCUAGUAUUUGCGGUGCCUGAAAACUUUCUUAAGAAGCAGUUGUUUUGCUGGCCUCCUAGGACAUCCAGGAGCUGGUCCUGUCAUCUUCCAGGUAUUCAUAUGCUCAGCUAAAUGUACAUAACUGUAAAUCAACACUAAGAGCACCGGAUGGUUAAGGUCAAGGAGAUUCUCACAAAGGAUCCAGUAAUUUCAUUUUUUUAUUUGCAAACCCUGUUGUGAAACUUCAAGAAGAGUUCCAAUAUUUGAAAAUGGGA